RNAcentral lists this long non-coding RNA (513 nucleotides) under Oryzias javanicus (javanese ricefish). RNAcentral describes it as "lncRNA (ENSOJAG00000005273.1)". Lineage: Eukaryota; Metazoa; Chordata; Actinopteri; Beloniformes; Adrianichthyidae. The record is from RNAcentral.
AUGGUCCAGUACAGCCAGGUUGUUCCUUCAACUGGGAAGAUGCAGACAGACAUCCAUGGGAGGGUUGUCUUAGCUCCUGCCUGGGCUGGGACACAGAAAGGAACAUCUGCCGAAAAAGUGACCAAAAAGAAGAACCCAAAGAGUCUCAGGAGUGUUUUUGGCAUCUUGAGGCCAAACUUGAGCAGUGAGGUGUGGUCCACCAUUCUGGCUCCGACCUGGCUUCAUGGAUUCAAGAUGGACGCCAAGGAUGAAUGGGAGCUUCUGGCUGUGAAGGCUGCUUCAUGGGUCCAAGAACAAAGGGUGAUAGGAGAGGAUGACAACACCCUUGUGUUGUAAGGUGUCAUGCGAUCCAUAAAAUGAUGCUGGACUUUUAUGGGAACUGAUCUCUCACCCUCCAAGCACUGAAGAACAUGUCUAUCUUUUUGAUUCUCUCAACCACCUUGUUGCUGUCAGAACUCACUCGGUUUAUUUCUCCAGAUCUGAGCUCUGGAUCACCCCUGUGCCCCGUUAAAU